RNAcentral lists this ribosomal RNA (244 nucleotides) under uncultured bacterium. Its description in RNAcentral is "partial 16S ribosomal RNA". It matches the Rfam family "Bacterial small subunit ribosomal RNA", at positions 15 to 265 of the family's 1533-position model. The record is from RNAcentral.
GAUCAUGGCUCAGGACGAACGCUGGCGGCGUGCUUAACACAUGCAAGUCGAACGGGGCAUAGAGAUAUGCCUAGUGGCGGACGGGUGAGUAACACGUGAGCAACCUAUCCUAUACAACGGGAUAACACAGAGAAAUUUGUGCUAAUACGGUAUAAGACCACACUCCGGCAUCGGAGAGGGGUAAAAGCUGAGGCGGUAUAGGAGGGGCUCGCGGCCCAUUAGCUAGUUGGAGAGGUAACGGGCU